AGAGUUUGAUCAUGGCUCAGGACGAACGACUGGCGGCGUGCCUAAUACAUGCAAGUCGAGCGGACCAAUUAGAAAGCUUGACUUAUUUAAUUGGUUAGCGGCGGACGGGUGAGUAACACGUGGGUAACACUGCCCUAUAGACCGGGAUAACUCGCGGAAACGACGUGCUAAUACCGGAUAAACACACCGAAGCGCAUGCUUCGGUGUUGAAAGAUGGUUCUGCUAUCACUAUAGGAUGGGCCCGCGGCGCAUUAGCUAGUUGGUGGGGUAACGGCCUACCAAGGCGACGAUGCGUAGCCGAACCUGAGAGGGUGAUCGGCCACACUGGGACUGAGACCCGGCCCAGACUCCUACGGGAGGCAGCCGUAGGGAAUCUUCCACCUGGGCGAAAGCCUGAUGGAGCCCCGCCGCGUGAGCGAA
Molecule: ribosomal RNA, 420 nt
Filed under: Bacillaceae bacterium N-14-55-3
Lineage: Bacteria; Bacillati; Bacillota; Bacilli; Caryophanales; Bacillaceae
Description: bacterial SSU rRNA
Rfam family: Bacterial small subunit ribosomal RNA
Source: RNAcentral